This 67-nucleotide microRNA precursor is filed under the name Canis lupus familiaris (dog). Its description in RNAcentral is "miRNA (ENSCAFG00000057106.1)". Lineage: Eukaryota; Metazoa; Chordata; Mammalia; Carnivora; Canidae. The record is from RNAcentral.
GAGCUUAGGUUAUACAGAGGCUGAUCCUUGGAUUUUUCCGGGCCUCAGGACUUCCUUUCAGACAUGG